GAUAAUGCUUUGUUGGGGAGCUAUUCUGUGUAUUGUAGGAUGUUUAGCAGCAUUCCUGUCCUCUACCUACUAGAUACCACUCACACCACCCCC
This is a non-coding RNA of Ceratotherium simum simum (southern white rhinoceros), 93 nucleotides long. Lineage: Eukaryota; Metazoa; Chordata; Mammalia; Perissodactyla; Rhinocerotidae. The record is from RefSeq and is a predicted model, not a curated record.